Long non-coding RNA from Suricata suricatta (meerkat), 1254 nucleotides. RefSeq lists it as uncharacterized. The record is from RefSeq and is a predicted model, not a curated record. NCBI's taxonomy places the organism in Eukaryota, Metazoa, Chordata, Mammalia, Carnivora, Herpestidae. The transcript is spliced from 3 exons.
AGAGCAGGUGGGGCCCCGCCAGGGCCGCCGCCUGAGGCGGUGAAGAAGGCUGCAGCUAUCACCAGGUCUGCUCAUGAACUAAACCGCAGAGGACAAGACACAGCAAAUUUGUGUUUUGGAGAGUAGAGAAAAUUAAACCAGACAAAUCCCUGGGACGCUCUGAUGACAAGGAAGAGAAGCUUCAGGGGUGAGGAACGGAGGACGGGGACACUCACCUUUACAGACGAAGCACUUGAUGUGGAAAUACUUGUUCUGGACCCUCAGCACCUCACCCUUGCACACGUUCCCGCAGGUGUUGCACAGGAUGGCCGUGCUGGGCGGCUUCUCCAGGGGGCUGUGAGCAGCCUGGGGCUCCGACACUGCAGGGGGAGCAGCCACGUUAGAUACCGGGGUGCACCGCGCACAGGCCAGGAAACCGGCGACUGCGCCCCGCCAGCUCAAGCCCCGAGGGCGUCAGGAGACAGACUGGUCUUCCUUCCCGGGGGACCAGAGGGCAGCGGAGACCUGAGCUCCUUCCACGACGCCCGCACGUGGCCAUGUGCCCCCAUCGCUGUGUGCUCGUCUGUGUGGGGCGGGGAUCGCAGCCCCGCCCCAAAGGGCAUCCUGUUCUCCUGCUGUCUCCCCUGAGCUGAGGGUCCCUUCCGCUGCCGGGAGGCCCACACUACUCCCUUCUGCCAGAGCAGGAAGCAUGGCAAGUCCCUCUGUGUGCUGGGGACGUGGACCUGAGUCCCGCCACGGCCUGGGAUGUUCAUGGAGCUGCCAGAAACCCACUGAGGACAGUCGUGGUGGGCAGUUAAAGGGCCCAGCCGUGGGGCUCCUGGGGCCUGGGCAGGGCCACAUGCUCCUCUUCCCCACCCUCCCCCUGUGGAGGCCGGCAGACAGGACGAGGGGGCCCCCAGCAAGCCGACCCCUUAAGGAGCCCACGCCUGGCAGUGGAGACAGCCCAAGGGGCAGAGCUGAGGCUGGGGGAGGCCCAGGGGUUGGGGACCAGCAGAGUCACAUGAAACACAGGGAGGAGCUGGCCGCAUGGCAGAGAGCAUGGCCCAUGUCAUAGGGACCUGAGCUGGGUGGAUUCUUCUGACUCAGGACCAAAAGGAGGAAACCAAACCUGACCAGCCACGUGGACGCCCCCUUCCGGUGGCCUCCCGGCCUCCUGACCUCCCGGCCUCCCCACCUCCUUGGCAGGUGCAUGCAUGCACACGCACGCACGCACACACACACACACACACCCAUUAACACGAUUCUCUAACACCA